This 492-nucleotide ribosomal RNA is filed under the name uncultured bacterium. RNAcentral describes it as "partial 16S ribosomal RNA". It matches the Rfam family "Bacterial small subunit ribosomal RNA", at positions 29 to 507 of the family's 1533-position model. The record is from RNAcentral.
AGUGAACGCUGGCGGUAGACCUAACACAUGCAAGUCGAACGGCAGCACAGUAAGAGCUUGCUCUUACGGGUGGCGAGUGGCGGACGGGUGAGGAAUACAUCGGAAUCUACUUUUUCGUGGGGGAUAACGUAGGGAAACUUACGCUAAUACCGCAUACGACCUACGGGUGAAAGCAGGGGAUCUUCGGACCUUGCGCGAUUGAAUGGGCCGAUGUCGGAUUAGCUAGUUGGCGGGGUAAAGGCCCACCAAGGCGACGAUCCGUAGCUGGUCUGAGAGGAUGAUCAGCCACACUGGAACUGAGACACGGUCCAGACUCCUACGGGAGGCAGCAGUGGGGAAUAUUGGACAAUGGGCGCAAGCCUGAUCCAGCCAUACCGCGUGGGUGAAGAAGGCCUUCGGGUUGUAAAGCCCUUUUGUUGGGAAAGAAAAGCAGCAGGUUAAUACCCCGCUGUUCUGACGGUACCCAAAGAAUAAGCACCGGCUAACUUCGUG